AACCCAUGGUGAGGGCACCUUCUCAAUAGAUCCUUGUAUCUCUCCCAUGCAUCGUAAAGUGUUUCUGAGUCC
RNAcentral lists this small nucleolar RNA (72 nucleotides) under Gossypium barbadense (sea-island cotton). Its description in RNAcentral is "Plant small nucleolar RNA R71". It matches the Rfam family "Plant small nucleolar RNA R71". Rfam says of the family: R71 is a member of the C/D box family of snoRNAs containing the C (UGAUGA) and D (CUGA) box motifs. Multiple nearly identical copies of this snoRNA have been identified in Arabidopsis, and it is thought to function as a 2'-O-ribose methylation guide for 18S ribosomal RNA. Lineage: Eukaryota; Viridiplantae; Streptophyta; Magnoliopsida; Malvales; Malvaceae. The record is from Rfam by way of RNAcentral. RNAcentral also lists the same sequence under 1 other name.